AGUGAACGCUGGCGGUAGGCCUAACACAUGCAAGUCGAACGGCAGCACAGUAAGAGUUUGCUCUUACGGGUGGCGAGUGGCGGACGGGUGAGGAAUACAUCGGAAUCUACUUUUUCGUGGGGGAUAACGUAGGGAAACUUACGCUAAUACCGCAUACGACCUACGGGUGAAAGCAGGGGAUCUUCGGACCUUGCGCGAUUGAAUGAGCCGAUGUCGGAUUAGCUAGUUGGCGGGGUAAAGGCCCACCAAGGCGACGAUCCGUAGCUGGUCUGAGAGGAUGAUCAGCCACACUGGAACUGAGACACGGUCCAGACUCCUACGGGAGGCAGCAGUGGGGAAUAUUGGACAAUGGGCGCAAGCCUGAUCCAGCCAUACCGCGUGGGUGAAGAAGGCCUUCGGGUCGUAAAGCCCUUUUGUUGGGAAAGAAAAGCAGCAGGUUAAUACCCCGCUGUUCUGACGGUACCCAAAGAAUAAGCACCGGCUAACUUCGUG
This 492-nucleotide ribosomal RNA is filed under the name uncultured bacterium. Its description in RNAcentral is "partial 16S ribosomal RNA". It matches the Rfam family "Bacterial small subunit ribosomal RNA", at positions 29 to 507 of the family's 1533-position model. The record is from RNAcentral.